Long non-coding RNA from Pyrgilauda ruficollis (rufous-necked snowfinch), 704 nucleotides. RefSeq lists it as uncharacterized. The transcript is spliced from 3 exons. Lineage: Eukaryota; Metazoa; Chordata; Aves; Passeriformes; Passeridae. The record is from RefSeq and is a predicted model, not a curated record.
UCCCCUGGCUGGGCAGACCCUGGCAGGAGGGGGCACAGGGUCCAGCCCUGGUAUGAGCCUGUCCCGGGGCAUGAGGCUCUGGGGACCUGGGGACCUGUUUUGGUCCCUCUUGUGACCCAGAGGUGUCCUGGAGCCUGCAGUGUUCCCCAAACUGUGGCACAGGCGCCCCAGCGUGCACAGCAGUGACACAGGCAGUGUCCCUGAGUCCCCCAAGCCCAGCCAGCUCCAGUGUCCCGUGACCCAAAGAUGAAAAUGAGUCUCCAGCUCUUUAUGGCUACACCUGAAGAGCAUCAGGCACCCAGGAACAGACCCUGCAGCUCCAGAGCUGUCUCAGUCACCCCAGGUUAAUGCUACCUGGCGGGAUGCCGCUGACAGCAACACAAUUGCUCCUGUCUCUCUUGCUUGCAGCACUGGCAGUUCCAGAAAAAAUGUCCUAAUUUCAGAGAAGGAAAUCUGUCUCACUCUUCAUGUUAAUGCAGCGGGCUCCAUCUGGGGCACAGCUUAUGGCAGGCAAGAAAGGAGAAUUAAGCACCACAUCCCACGGCAUGAAGUGGUAUGGAUUUUAAAGCAGAAGGUUUGCUUGGAUGCUGGAAUUCCUGUCAAGAGCCCCAUUUGCUAAAUAAUGCCCAGACCUCUAUCACAUAACAGCUUGUUCCUGGCAAUCCAGUUCUUGGCCCUGGAUUCAGCCUAUCCUUAACUUAAUA